RNAcentral lists this transfer RNA (72 nucleotides) under Toxocara canis (dog roundworm). It matches the Rfam family "tRNA". From Rfam's summary of the family: Transfer RNA (tRNA) molecules are approximately 80 nucleotides in length. The record is from Rfam by way of RNAcentral. Lineage: Eukaryota; Metazoa; Nematoda; Chromadorea; Rhabditida; Toxocaridae.
GGGGCAGCAGCUCAGUGGUAGAGCUCCCGCUUCAUACGCGGGAAGACCUGCGUCUGAUUCCAGGCUGCUUUC